This 468-nucleotide ribosomal RNA is filed under the name uncultured bacterium. Its description in RNAcentral is "partial 16S ribosomal RNA". It matches the Rfam family "Bacterial small subunit ribosomal RNA", at positions 28 to 507 of the family's 1533-position model. The record is from RNAcentral.
GACGAGCGCUGGCGGCGUGCUUAACACAUGCAAGUCGAACGGAAAGGCCCUGCUUUUGUGGGGUGCUCGAGUGGCGAACGGGUGAGUAACACGUGAGUAACCUGCCCUUGACUUUGGGAUAGCUUCAGGAAACUGGGGCUAAUACCGGAUAGGAGCUCCUGCUGCAUGGUGGGGGUUGGAAAGUUUCGGCGGUUGGGGAUGGACUCGCGGCUUAUCAGCUUGUUGGUGGGGUAGUGGCUUACCAAGGCUUUGACGGGUAGCCGGCCUGAGAGGGUGACCGGCCACAUUGGGACUGAGAUACGGCCCAGACUCCUACGGGAGGCAGCAGUGGGGAAUAUUGCACAAUGGGCGGAAGCCUGAUGCAGCAACGCCGCGUGCGGGAUGACGGCCUUCGGGUUGUAAACCGCUUUCGCCUGUGACGAAGCGUGAGUGACGGUAAUGGGUAAAGAAGCACCGGCUAACUACGUG